GGGCCUAUAGCUCAAUCGGUUAGAGCAGCUGACUCAUAAUCAGCGGGUUCGGGGUUCAAGUCCCUGUGGGCCCA
Molecule: transfer RNA, 74 nt
Filed under: Pseudomonadota bacterium
Lineage: Bacteria; Pseudomonadati; Pseudomonadota
Also listed under: 1 other name
Description: Proteobacteria bacterium (gut metagenome) tRNA-Ile
Rfam family: tRNA
About the family: Transfer RNA (tRNA) molecules are approximately 80 nucleotides in length. Their secondary structure includes four short double-helical elements and three loops (D, anti-codon, and T loops). Further hydrogen bonds mediate the characteristic L-shaped molecular structure. tRNAs have two regions of fundamental functional importance: the anti-codon, which is responsible for specific mRNA codon recognition, and the 3' end, to which the tRNAs corresponding amino acid is attached (by aminoacyl-tRNA synthetases). tRNAs cope with the degeneracy of the genetic code in two manners: having more than one tRNA (with a specific anti-codon) for a particular amino acid; and 'wobble' base-pairing, i.e. permitting non-standard base-pairing at the 3rd anti-codon position.
Source: RNAcentral